Long non-coding RNA from Corythoichthys intestinalis (scribbled pipefish), 4887 nucleotides. RefSeq lists it as uncharacterized. Lineage: Eukaryota; Metazoa; Chordata; Actinopteri; Syngnathiformes; Syngnathidae. The transcript has 6 exons. The record is from RefSeq and is a predicted model, not a curated record.
CGUCAUCCUCCAGCCUUUGUGUCGUUGGACGUGCGUGCGUGCGUGCGUGACGUAGUCAAGCUUGUGUGUCUGUCACAGAGCGAAAGAGGCUUGCGUCGUAUUAAAUUCUCCUCUGAAGUUUAUCUGGCUGAUCUUCUAUCUGGACCUGAGAGAUGAAGAAGGCACAAUCGCUCCUUUUCCAAGCGUUGACCGUGCUUGGCAUUUGGGCUUCGCUUGGUGAGUUCACGUUUUUAUUUGACUUCAAGGUGCCUCACUGCAAACGUUGUUGGGACUGGAUUUGUUUCUUCAGAUCAUUAGGGGAUCAAUAUAAAAGGGCAUUUUAUUGGCCCCACCUCGGGGAAAUGUAUACUUGUCAGAUUACUAGACAUAUUAAGCAAACUGUCAGUCUCAUUUGAAACAAUGGAAACAAUACGUUAUACAUCCGCGGUUUUGAGACACUUUCUGAUCCGACUGUGAACUUUUGAAAAAAGGGUGUAGUAAAGCCUAUUUAAAACUAACGACUGACUUUAAGCAUUGAUAUGCCACUCAUUUAACUCACUGACCGCCACUGACUGAAAACCUGAAACAUUCACUUCGGUUUGCCUUGGAAGGCUGCAAAUGGAUUGGACGUCUAGCACCGUCAUUGGCACAGAAACGGCACUUCUUUCCUGGACUUGGUGGGCUUGGACUUGGUGCUGAUGUGGAUAAGUUCGCUGUAAAAUGACACAUUUCAAAGACAACCCUAUGCUGAGAGCUACAAACUCUUUUGUGAACAAGUGAUCCGUCAAAGGAUUAUCGUUGACAAAGAAGUGCUCAGAAUGGACAAGCCAAGAAGGUUGUUCGUGAACAUCGUGAAGAACCAUGAGGAUCUUGAUGCUUCAGACUACAGGCGGGAUAUGCUGAAAAGAAGAUUGAAGUGUGAUUUCCCCCAAUUAGUUUUUUAUGGGGAGAGAUUUGUCUCAAAAAUAUUCUCACAAAUGCUUUCGCGAUUCACACAUAUCUUUUGUAGAUGCACAAAUAUAUCAGAGAUUUUCACAUGUAUUUUCGAGAUCCACAAAUAUAUCCAUGAGUUUCACAUGUGUUUUUGUAAUUCACAAGUAUAUCCUCGAAAUUCACAUGUGUUUUUUUUUAUGUAGUGCGUGCACUCAUCAUGAAUUAUUGUUUGUAAGCAUUCGAAUUGUAUAUGGGAAUCAGCGGCCGAGUGCAUUUAUUUUUGAGACAAACAUAACAAGAAACGGUCAAAUUUUCUCACACAAGCGCAUUCGCGAUUCACACUUGUGUUUUUCGAAUUCACAAAUACAUCCGCGAUUCUCACAAAUACAUUAGUGAUUUUCACACGUGUUUUUCAGAUCCACAAAUACGUCCGCGUUUUCCUCGUGUGUUUUUUAAAUCCACAAAUACUUCCGCAAAUGUCGCAUGUUUUUUUUAAUGAUGUGCGCGCAAUUAUCAUGACUUGACAUUUUUUAAGCAUUCAGUUUUGCUUGUGAAUUGCUGGAGCUGUGUUUUUUUUGUUUUUGUUUUUUUUUUUAAACAGCGAACACGCGCAUUUCUUUUUGAGACAAACGUCACUCGAUGUUUCACCAAGAUUUUCUCACACACAGUAAACCAAGAAUUUUCACGUGUCUCAAAUAACCUCCGCCUCAGUCCGAUAGGCGGCAGUAUUGAGCGCAUAGAAAGGUCAAAAGUGCCCAUCAACACAGAUGGCAAAUGGUGUUCUACUUAUGUAGCGCUUUUCCACCUUUCAAGGCGCUCAAAGCGCUUUACACUACAUCGCCAUCUACAUACAGGUGACGCAGCACCAGGAGCAAUGUGGGGUUCAGUAUCUUGCUCAAGGAUACUUAGGCGAGUUCAUCAGGGCAGAGAAUUGCACAACCUCUGGGUUGGGGGACAACUACUCUACCGCAGAGCCACGCCAUCCCCAUCCCCAGAUCACAUACGGACACCUAGCGGGUGACAUUACACCGGGCAACAGAUAAACAGGUGUCUUGGGUCCGUUGGAAAACCUACCCUAUUCCAUUUUUUGUUUUUAUGUGUGUUAAUAAAAAAAAAAAAAAAAAAAAAGAGAAAUGAAUCAUCUCCCGUUUCCCAAUUAAAAACUGCUAAUUCAAUAACGGAAACGAGACUUAAUCCAUUUUACCAAUUAAUGGUUUUGAGCUGAAGUCGAAAAACAAAAUAUGUCCAAUAUUUGUUUUUAUUAACAAAAAAAAAAAAACAACAGCACAAAUAUGCCAGGGGGUUAUAAACAUUUCAAACAUUGCACAUCAGGAAAAUAACAAAACAAAACAAAAACAAAAAAACAAUGAAUAAUGCUGUGAGCAAUUAUUCACAAAGAGAUUCAAGUUUUUCCACAAAUAUUGUUAUUUUCCGCUUUUAGAUUAUUUGAUUUUUUAAACAGAUUUAUGUAGCACACAGUCUCGUUAUGAAAGUGAGAAAAAGAAGGUAACAGCUUGCUAAAUUUACAUUUGUGUAGGUAGAAUUUCGACAAAAUGACAAGAUUAAUAAUAGAAACAAUCUCUUUCUUGAGAUUCUUAUAGAAACAAAAACAAAAAAGACAUUUUCCCAUUUGAGUUUGAAGUCCACAUGUGUAGGCUCCUGAUUCUGAACUUGCAAAGUUCUUUCCAAAAUUUAUUGGAAAAAGAGCAGGUCCAAAAAAGGUGCUGAACUGUCUCUGUAUCAAUGUCCCACUUUAAUUUUUUUCAUGUAGUGGUUUGCAGGAUAGUACUUAUCUAUAGAUAAUUUUGAAAGCGACUUCUUUGACCUUACUUGUCAACCGAAACAUAUUGGGGAUAGUCCAUACUUAGGCGUGGACCAAAUGAUAUCUCCAAAAAGACUUAACAUAUGCUUUGGAUCUAAUCUCGUUCUGAAAUAGAGAUCGAGUAUAUCUAUUCAAAUUUUUGUUAUGUAGUAAACAUAAUUUCCCCACACUUGAAUUUAGUAUAUUUGGAGGAGAUAAAGUUUGAAAUGGCAUGUUUACAUUUCUGCACAGCAUAAUGAAUCCUGAAGGAAUCGCAUCAUCAACACUAGCAUAUUGCUUAGGUCUAACUGGUAACUGAAAAUAAUCCCAAAACUCCGCGUAAAACAUAGGUGCCAUUAAAAAGUUGUGACACAAAAAGUGUCUUCUGCCUCUAAUUGUCCAAAAAUAAAGAUUUGUUUUUGCAAAGAAUUCAAUGAGCCAUGACCCGGAAGACGAGGCCUUAUUGAAGAAAAACAUCGUUUUCCGGUUCAAGGCUCAUUGUAAAAGCGAACUCGGAGGAAAACAAAUAUUGGUCGUAUUUUGUUUUUCGACUUCAGUUCAAUAAAUUGACAUUGUAAAAACGGAUUAAGGUUCGUUUUUCGUUUUUUAUUUUCCAAAAUUAGAAGGAAAAACAAACGGCCUCAAGGUACACGGACAGUCUUGAUAGUUCUUGAAGUUUGGGAAUCAUACUUUUAUAGUCUAUGCGCUCAAAACUGCCACCUAUCAGAUGAAGGCGGAGGUUAUUUGAGACACGUGAAAAUUCUCGGCUUACUGUGUGUGAGAAAAUCUUGGUGAAACAUCGAGUGACGUUUGUCUCAAAAAGAAAUGCGCGUGUUUGCUGUUAAAGAACACAGCUCCAGCAAUUCACAAGCAAAAUUGAAUACUUAAAAAAUGUCAAGUCAUGAUAAUUGCACGCACAUCAUUAAAAAACAUGCGAAACUUGCGGAAGUAUUUGUGGAUUUGAAAAACACUUGUGGAAAACGCGGACGUAUUUGUGGAUCUGAAAAACGCGUGUGAAAAUCACUCAUGUAUUUGUGAGAAUCGCGGAUGUAUUUGUGAAUUUGAAAAACACGUGUGAAUCGCCAAUGCACUUGUUCUUGUUAUGUUUGUCUCAAAAAUAAAUGCACGCGGCCGCUGAUUCACAAAUACAAUUCGAAUGUUUGCAAACAAUAAUUCAUGAUGAGUGCACGCACAACAUUAAAAAACACAUGUGAAUUUCGAGGAUAUAUUAGUGGAUUACAAAAACACAUGUGAAACUCAUGGAUAUAUUUGUGGAUCUCGAAAAUACAUGUGAAAAUCUUGGAUAUAUUUGUGCAUCGACAAAAGAUAUGUGUAAAUCGCGAAAGUAUUUGUGAGAAUAUUUUUGAGACAAAUCUCUCCCCAUAGUUUUUCACACCCCUUUCCAGCGCAACAUGUCUGAAAUGUUUUUUUUGUUUUUUUUGUUGGAGACUUUAUCAUCAACAGACAAACUUUUAGACAGGAUACCUCAGUCAUCAGGUACAUCAGCUACCGACUCUACUGAGAACAAAGAAGGACACUUUACAGUGCAGGGCUGCUAUUGAGGACCAUUCUAAGCGAAUCACCCUCACUGAAAUGCCCAUGGCCUCCCACAGCAGAAGAUUUAAAUGUAUGUGAAGCGAAAGCUGUUGUGCCUGUUGAACAGUACAAUCGAUUGGUGCAACAGAAGAACCAACACUAGCCGGCAAAAGGGCAAACUACGAGGCAGCAGUAAUGCGACAUUGUCUGACUGGUAUGAUGUGUGCCCCUUCACCAAUUGGCAAUGGAUGGGACAUUGAGGAUGGUGAAUUAACAGUAAAAUGGAUGACUAGAAAUCCUGCCCCAGAUAGUGUGCUACAGGUAAUCCACUGUGGUUGCAAGAUAAGCAAGUGUGAGACUGAAAGAUGUUCAUGCUUGUCUGCAAAAAUGUCCUGUACAGAUUUAUGCCACUGCCAGGACUGUGAAAAUAUUUCAAAGGAAAUGGGAUGAUGACACUGAUGAUACUGAUAUUGAUGAGUAAUCACCCACCAUCUCUCCUAUGUUUAGUUUCAUUAUCAAAAUGUUACUCUCCAUUUUAACACCUUUAAAACAACAACAAAAAAAGGCUCUUUUCCCUUUUCCAAAAAAAUAGACCUUUGUUCAAUUUGACUGCCAAAAAAGAUGGAUGUUCCAAUGAA